This 90-nucleotide transfer RNA is filed under the name Coriobacteriia bacterium. RNAcentral describes it as "tRNA-Leu". It matches the Rfam family "tRNA". From Rfam's summary of the family: Transfer RNA (tRNA) molecules are approximately 80 nucleotides in length. Their secondary structure includes four short double-helical elements and three loops (D, anti-codon, and T loops). The record is from RNAcentral. RNAcentral also lists the same sequence under 1 other name. Lineage: Bacteria; Bacillati; Actinomycetota; Coriobacteriia.
GUCGGAGUGGCGGAAUUGGCAGACGCGCAGGCUUGAGGUGCCUGUGUCCACUUAUCGGACGUGUGAGUUCAAAUCUCAUCUCCGACACCA